CAGGAGUGCAGCGCCUCUAGUUCCAGGUGCGAGCCAGCGCCUGCAGCCGCUGUAGCGUCGGUACCUUGACGUGGUAGAGCAGCGUGCGCGCCGGGCUGCGCGUGUUGGAGUACCAGGAGUGCAGCGCCUCUAGUUCCAGGUGCGAGCCAGCGCCUGCAGCCGCUGUAGCGUCGGUACCUUGCAGGUGCGAGCCAGCGCCUGCAGCCGCUGUAGCGUCGGUACCUUGACGUGGUAGAGCAGCGUGCGCGCCGGGCUGCGCGUGUUGGAGUACCAGGAGUGCAGCGCCUCUAGUUCCAGGUGCGAGCCAGCGCCUGCAGCCGCUGUAGCGUCGGUACCUUGACGUGGUAGAGCAGCGUGCGCGCCGGGCUGCGCGUGUUGGAGUACCAGGAGUGCAGCGCCUCUAGUUCCAGGUGCGAGCCAGCGCCUGCAGCCGCUGUAGCGUCGGUACCUUGCAGGUGCGAGCCAGCGCCUGCAGCCGCUGUAGCGUCGGUACCUUGACGUGGUAGAGCAGCGUGCGCGCCGGGCUGCGCGUGUUGGAGUACCAGGAGUGCAGCGCCUCUAGUUCCAGGUGCGAGCCAGCGCCUGCAGCCGCUGUAGCGUCGGUACCUUGACGUGGUAGAGCAGCGUGCGCGCCGGGCUGCGCGUGUUGGAGUACCAGGAGUGCAGCGCCUCUAGUUCCAGGUGCGAGCCAGCGCCUGCAGCCGCUGUAGCGUCGGUACCUUGACGUGGUAGAGCAGCGUGCGCGCCGGGCUGCGCGUGUUGGAGUACCAG
This is a long non-coding RNA of Ostrinia nubilalis (European corn borer), 771 nucleotides long. RefSeq lists it as uncharacterized. The record is from RefSeq and is a predicted model, not a curated record. The transcript has 3 exons. NCBI's taxonomy places the organism in Eukaryota, Metazoa, Arthropoda, Insecta, Lepidoptera, Crambidae.